GGGGGCGAUCUGGGUUCGACGGGGGUGCGAAGUCAAGUCGGCAUGCCGGGGUCCUGUUAUCCCGUUAAACAAGCAGGCUGCAAAACUAACUGCAGAUAAUUUUGAAUACAAACUGGCUGCCUAACCGCAGCUAGCGUUCUACCGGCCUUCUCCCGCGGGGUCGGAUAGGGCGUCGAUUAGCGGGAUGGGCCGAUUCUCCUGCCGGAGGGGAUGAGGCUGAGAUCUAAACCGGCUGGUCUUCGGAGAGCCUGCCUGUGGGCGCUUCGCGGACGAGAUCAAAACAUCGGCUAAGCAUGUAGUUCGGCUUGGCGUAACGCCUUCGGACGGGGGUUCAAUUCCCCCCGCCUCCACCA
This 353-nucleotide transfer-messenger RNA is filed under the name Deltaproteobacteria bacterium RIFCSPLOWO2_12_FULL_60_19. It matches the Rfam family "transfer-messenger RNA". From Rfam's summary of the family: Bacterial tmRNA, also known as 10Sa RNA or SsrA, is named for its dual tRNA and mRNA-like properties. Its role is to liberate the mRNA from a stalled ribosome. RNAcentral also lists the same sequence under 1 other name. The record is from RNAcentral. Lineage: Bacteria; Deltaproteobacteria.